This 496-nucleotide unclassified non-coding RNA is filed under the name uncultured Glomus. RNAcentral describes it as "SSU rRNA". It matches the Rfam family "Eukaryotic small subunit ribosomal RNA", at positions 591 to 1092 of the family's 1831-position model. The record is from RNAcentral. Lineage: Eukaryota; Fungi; Glomeromycota; Glomeromycetes; Glomerales; Glomeraceae.
CCAAUAGCGUAUAUUAAAGUUGCUGCAGUUAAAAAGCUCGUAGUUGAAUUUCGGGACUAAUAUGUCGGUCGUGCCUCGGUACGUACUGGUAUUUUUGGUUUCUCCCUUCUGACGAACCUUGAUGUCAUUAAUUUGGUGUCUUGGGAAAUCAGGACUGUUACUUUGAAAAAAUUAGAGUGUUUAAAGCAGGCUCACGCUUGAAUACAUUAGCAUGGAAUAAUGAAAUAGGACGUUUGAUUCUAUUUUGUUGGUUUCUAGGAUCGACGUAAUGAUUAAUAGGGAUAGUUGGGGGCAUUAGUAUUCAAUUGUCAGAGGUGAAAUUCUUGGAUUUAUUGAAGACUAACUACUGCGAAAGCAUUUGCCAAGGAUGUUUUCAUUAAUCAAGAACGAAAGUUAGGGGAUCGAAGACGAUCAGAUACCGUCGUAGUUCUGACCAUAAACGAUGUCGACUGGCGAUCCGCGGACGUCGCUUCUAUGACCCCGCGGGCAGCCUUCG